RNAcentral lists this ribosomal RNA (360 nucleotides) under uncultured bacterium. RNAcentral describes it as "partial 16S ribosomal RNA". It matches the Rfam family "Bacterial small subunit ribosomal RNA", at positions 338 to 695 of the family's 1533-position model. The record is from RNAcentral.
CCUACGGUGGGCAGCAGUGAGGAAUAUUGGUCAAUGGACGCAAGUCUGAACCAGCCAUGCCGCGUGCAGGAAGACGGCUCUAUGAGUUGUAAACUGCUUUUGUACGAGGGUAAACGCAGAUACGCGUAUCUGUCUGAAAGUAUCGUACGAAUAAGGAUCGGCUAACUCCGUGCCAGCAGCCGCGGUAAUACGGAGGAUUCAAGCGUUAUCCGGAUUUAUUGGGUUUAAAGGGUGCGUAGGCGGUCGGAUAAGUUAGAGGUGAAAUCCCGAGGCUCAACUCCGGAAUUGCCUCUGAUACUGGUCGGCUAGAGAGGAGUUGCGGUAGGCGGAAUGUGUGGUGUAGCGGUGAAAUGCGUAGAG